Molecule: long non-coding RNA, 737 nt
Organism: Hermetia illucens (black soldier fly)
Lineage: Eukaryota; Metazoa; Arthropoda; Insecta; Diptera; Stratiomyidae
Exons: 2
Source: RefSeq, a predicted model, not a curated record
GGCUAUAGGAUCCUGAGAACACCAACCUGGAUGAUUGGCGACCGGUUGAAAAACAAGCACAUCGCAAUAUGUACGUAUUGUGAAGCCGCACUGAAGAUGUUGGGCAUUCUUUUGAUCGCCUUGAAUAUCGUUCAAGAUUGUAGAAACUGAUUGAACUCUGGGACUUUUCUGAGUUCGGUAUCUUCCUUGGGGGAAGGGGGGAUGAAGUGUCAGGUAGCCGCGAGACACACCUAACUUUUCCCGUCAGAACUAGACAAACAUACUGCGAAGUUUAUCCUGUCGAAAAGCAAUAAAGAGCAUAGUAUUGCGGAUAUUCUGGUUGUUCAGAAUUCUAAAACGUCCGUAUCCAUCCCGCGAUGAGGAAGCGAAAUCCAUUUCCUAUGUGCAUGCCCCGCUUAUGGACGCAUCGGGUAGCAGGUUUUUGAUGCUGCCGAGUAGUAUCUCACCCCAAAAUCUAUGUCAACCAUUCCUGGUUUCGCCUACGUAAUGUAAGGCGUAAUAAGGCGAAUGUGGGUCGGAUAUAGCAAAGAUAAUUACAACCAAAUUCACUAUGUCUCCUUUUUAAUUUGGGCACCGAUUGAACAGUAUUGGCACUUUCAACAAAGAAAGUGUGUAGCAAAUACACUGGAUGCUACCUUCUUUGGCAAGCAGAAAUUUGACAGCUGAAAAUAUUUAUAAACCGUCCCGCUGAGAUGCCAGGGUCAUAAUAAUUAAAUAAAAAGAAUUAUUUUUUUCAA